AGGCAAAGAGGAUUUUGUCUGGAAGUCCUCUUUGAGCAAAGACAUGGAGUCCACAUGAGCAAAGACAUGGAGGAGAAAAACGGCAUGGCACGAAGGGAACUGCAGGAGGGAAAAGCAAAGAGAAGAUGCGAUGAAGCCACAGAGCAGGAAGAGGCCUCGGUUGCUGUCCUGACCAGUCCUCUCACUUCACCAUCAAGGCCAUGAAACCCAGAGAAGGGAUGUGACUUGAGAUCCAGCCAGACCCAGAUCCAGAGUUGGGAGGGCAGGGGUGCUGCAAUAUGAUCACAGAAUCGACACUCGACCCCUCCCAGCGACCUGGCAAAGUGGGCACUAACUCCAUUCUGCAGAGGUGGAAACUGAGGCCAGUGUGGGGAAUGGAAAUUGACUGGGCUAAGCUUAGAAGCCUGAACUCUGACCCCAAAGCUCUCUCUUGUACCUUUGACCCCCUUGUCUUGUCCUGCAGCUCUUAAGGUUACAGUGAGCCAGUUUUUCAUUUUGCCUUUCUCCAAUGGAGGCACCUUGGAAAAUAGAGAUCUGGCUGGAGCAACCUGGAACAUUUGAUGAUUGGGCUUAUUUAUAUUU
This 582-nucleotide long non-coding RNA is filed under the name Homo sapiens (human). RNAcentral's name for it is "non-protein coding lnc-ERGIC1-1:3". The record is from RNAcentral. Lineage: Eukaryota; Metazoa; Chordata; Mammalia; Primates; Hominidae.